RNAcentral lists this ribosomal RNA (479 nucleotides) under uncultured bacterium. RNAcentral describes it as "bacterial SSU rRNA". It matches the Rfam family "Bacterial small subunit ribosomal RNA", at positions 28 to 521 of the family's 1533-position model. The record is from RNAcentral.
GACGAACGCUGGCGGCGUGCCUAACACAUGCAAGUCGAACGGGGUGAUUCCUUCGGGGAUCACUUAGUGGCGAACGGGUGAGUAACGCGUGAGGAACCUGCCUUUCAGUGGGGGACAACAGUUGGAAACGACUGCUAAUACCGCAUAAUGUAGCGAGACCGCAUGAUCUUGCUACCAAAGCUUUAUGUGCUGAAAGAUGGCCUCGCGUCUGAUUAGAUAGUUGGUGAGGUAACGGCCCACCAUGGCGACGAUCAGUAGCCGGUCUGAGAGGAUGAACGGCCACAUUGGGACUGAGAUACGGCCCAGACUCCUACGGGAGGCAGCAGUGGGGAAUAUUGGGCAAUGGGGGAAACCCUGACCCAGCAACGCCGCGUGAAGGAAGAAGGCCUUCGGGUUGUAACGUUACUUUAGUCAGGGACGAAGGACGUGACGGUACCUAGCAGAAAAGCAACGGCUAACUACGUGCCAGCAGCCGCGGU